AGGGAUUGGUGACUGAAAUUAACUAAGAAUGGUAGAUUUUAUCAGCCUAACAACUCGGAAACAACUUGACGCAAGAACUACUAGAAACGAAGUUAACCGUCUCUAGUUGUGACUACUUGUGACUUGUGUAAUCUGGAAAAUUGAAUUUGGAUUGGAAAUUACUGGAAAAAAAAAUAAAAAUAAUGGCACAAAUAAAAAAUAAACUAAAGACUUGACGCAAGACUGUUGGACCAAGUGACACGAUUUUAGUUUCUUGACUUUGUUCGUGUGACUGUCGCAAUCUGGAAUUUAUUUUGGACUGAUUUAUCUUGAAACAGGUCUAGUUCAAUCCCCUUUUCCCAAUGGUUCAAGGAUUUCACAGCUGGUAUCAGAGUUAGUUGGUGAUUUUUCAGGUUAUAUCCCUUUCUUGUUUUGUGUUUUGUUAGUUGAUUCUUGUGUUUUGUUAUAUCAGCUGAUAUGAAUUCUGUUGAUGACGAAAUUCGCGACUAUGAACCCCAGAUCGAUGGUGAUAUUCACAUGUUUGAAUUGGGUAGAAUUUCCUAUUUCGGACCCUCUAAUCCUUGUGAUUGCGAACUUUCUUGACCCACAAUCAAAUGAACUAGCGAACUCUAGGAAUUUAUUAAAAGGCGUGACACAAUCAAGGAUGAUAUUCUUGAUUGUUAAGUUGAGUGAAUGCUAGACAAUUCUAACCGUUCAAGGAGGGCUCAUUGAACCAAGAGAGAGCACUCUCAAGAAACGAAGUUUCUGCCAAAGUAAGUUUAUUGAAGGAAAUUGAUGUCUUUUUAUAGGCUUAUAAGAUUCGACUCCUAAGGUAAUUAGAAUAAUGAAACUAAUCGGCUUACAACUUCCUAAAGUGGCCGAAUUGUAAUACUAGUCUUACCACACUAAGUAAUCGACUAACAUAAUUAACUACUAACCAACCAAGGAACCAAACAUCUAAACAAACUAGUAAACAACCACAAUACUAGCUGGAACAAUGCUCAACAUGGGC
This 991-nucleotide long non-coding RNA is filed under the name Coffea arabica (coffee). RNAcentral's name for it is "long non-coding RNA (CARA_LNC004998)". The record is from RNAcentral. Lineage: Eukaryota; Viridiplantae; Streptophyta; Magnoliopsida; Gentianales; Rubiaceae.